GAGGGAACCCCGAAAUACUUUUUCUGCCACCACAAGUAUCUGUUCUGCAGUGAUCUGUUUGUUGGGAUUCGAUGAAUUGUGGAUUGAUGAUCAGAUCAUUCAUUGAAAGUAACCGAGUCUUUUCUAAACUUUAUUAUCCAUGAUUAUUAUAGGCAUGUAUGAUUUCCUAUUUAUGAGUCUUGUUUGGCCAAUUUGAUGAGUAGAUCUUCAGCGGGAGUUGUGCAUUGUAGUAGGCUCAAUCUUAUGG
Molecule: long non-coding RNA, 247 nt
Filed under: Hordeum vulgare
Lineage: Eukaryota; Viridiplantae; Streptophyta; Magnoliopsida; Poales; Poaceae
Description: long non-coding RNA (HVUL_LNC010832)
Source: RNAcentral